Non-coding RNA from Pangasianodon gigas (Mekong giant catfish), 72 nucleotides. The record is from the annotation of a GenBank genome assembly. NCBI's taxonomy places the organism in Eukaryota, Metazoa, Chordata, Actinopteri, Siluriformes, Pangasiidae.
CACAGAGUGGCACAGCGGCAGCAUGCUGGUCCCAUAACCCAGAGGUCGAACGACCGAAUCCAUCCUCUGUAA